This 416-nucleotide ribosomal RNA is filed under the name uncultured beta proteobacterium. RNAcentral's name for it is "bacterial SSU rRNA". It matches the Rfam family "Bacterial small subunit ribosomal RNA", at positions 9 to 429 of the family's 1533-position model. The record is from RNAcentral. Lineage: Bacteria; Pseudomonadati; Pseudomonadota; Betaproteobacteria.
GAGUUUGAUCAUGGCUCAGAUUGAACGCUGGCGGCAUGCCUUACACAUGCAAGUCGAGCGGCAGCGCGGGGGCAACCCUGGCGGCGAGCGGCGAACGGGUGAGUAAUACAUCGGAACGUGUCCAGUAGCGGGGGAUAACCUCUCGAAAGAGAGGCUAAUACCGCAUACGACCUACGGGUGAAAGCGGGGGACCGCAAGGCCUCGCACUAUUGGAGCGGCCGAUGUCGGAUUAGCUAGUUGGCGGGGUAAAAGCCCACCAAGGCGACGAUCCGUAGCUGGUCUGAGAGGACGAUCAGCCACACUGGAACUGAGACACGGUCCAGACUCCUACGGGAGGCAGCAGUGGGGAAUUUUGGACAAUGGGGGCAACCCUGAUCCAGCCAUGCCGCGUGAGUGAAGAAGGCCUCGGUUGUAAG